This 507-nucleotide small RNA is filed under the name uncultured Glomeromycotina. Its description in RNAcentral is "SSU rRNA". It matches the Rfam family "Eukaryotic small subunit ribosomal RNA", at positions 591 to 1092 of the family's 1831-position model. RNAcentral also lists the same sequence under 1 other name. Lineage: Eukaryota; Fungi; Glomeromycota. The record is from RNAcentral.
CCAAUAGCGUAUAUUAAAGUUGUUGCAGUUAAAAAGCUCGUAGUUGAAUUUCGGGAUUGGCGCAUCGGUCGUGCCUCACGGGGUAUGAACUGGUGCAGUCAAUUUCUCACCUUCUGGAGAACCGCGAUGUCCUUAAUUGGAUGCCGCGGGGAACCAGGACCUUUACUUUGAAAAAAUUAGAGUGUUUAAAGCAGGCAUUUUUGCUUGAAUACAUUAGCAUGGAAUAAUAAAAUAGGACGGCAUGGUUCUAUUUUGUUGGUUUCUAGGACCACCGUAAUGAUUAAUAGGGAUAGUUGGGGGCAUUAGUAUUCAAUUGUCAGAGGUGAAAUUCUUGGAUUUAUUGAAGACUAACUACUGCGAAAGCAUUUGCCAAGGAUGUUUUCAUUAAUCAAGAACGAAAGUUAGGGGAUCGAAGACGAUCAGAUACCGUCGUAGUCUUAACCAUAAACUAUGCCGACUAGGAAUCAGACGAUGUUAAUUUUUUAAUGACUCGUUUGGCACCUUACG